Molecule: non-coding RNA, 2232 nt
Organism: Macaca mulatta (Rhesus monkey)
Lineage: Eukaryota; Metazoa; Chordata; Mammalia; Primates; Cercopithecidae
Source: RefSeq, a predicted model, not a curated record
GUGUGCAUGUGGUGUAUGUGUGUGCGUGUGGUGUGUGUGUGCAGUGUCAGGUUGGGGUUGGUAGGGACUAGGGGGCAGGCAGUGGAGUUUUCAAGCAAAGCCGUCAGGUCCAGGAGAGUCCUUACAUCAAGCAGAAACUCCACGAUGGUGUCAGCAGAAAACUCGCCAUCGUACUCAAUGACUUCAUCUCCCUUGAAUACAUACACGCUGUCCACUUCAGUUAGGCCUAGGGAGUGAGCCAGGGCGAGUGAGCCAUGAUCCCAGGCUUCCCACAGAUCCAAGGUCCAAAUCCUGGGCCACAGCCCAUUUGAUAAUCACCGGGGCCCCACAUGCUCCACCACAUGAGCCCGCUGCCCCCCCCACCUCCUCUGACCCCGAGGCCUACAGGCCUGAUGUCUCUGCUGCUGGAUUUAGCCCAGGAGGCCAGCCUGGCCCCAGGGCUUUCUAGGGAGGAGCUGGGGGAUCAAGUAGGGGGAGGGGAGGGAAUAGAGAGGUGUAGAUUCUAGCAGUAUUUCUCCCCUUCUCUGACUGCCACGACUAGGAGAUGAGUAUUCAUGCCACCCCCUCUGAGGACUCCAGUAGCUGGUUCCCAGUCAAGCUCUUUAAUUGCUAUUACUGACCAGAUGACUUCAUUAUUACUAACCACCCCUCCCCCAUCCAUGUCCAGAAUCCCGUCUCAAGCCUGUGCUUCCCCCUGGUGGCUCGCUGCUGUAACAACCAUGGCUCUGUAGGGGAGGAGUUGGAAGCGGAGUUUGCAGAGGUCUGGCCAGCCCAGCCUGUAUUCCUUUGCUCCAGCACCUACCAUGUUUUUUAGGAGAGACGGAUAACCUUCUGAGGCCAGGACAGCUCCAUGUGGGCCGAAAUCCUCCCACCUCCUACACUUCUACCCCAGGCUCCCAGGGGCUCCUUCCCUCCCCCUCCUCUGGUGUCCAGGGCACCUCAGCCCUGGUCCCCAUGCUGGCCUAAGAGCUCAUCGCCAUAUUAAGAAAGGAAAAGGAGAGAUGCCGGAGCUAAAAAUAAGACCAGAUGAGUCGGAGUGGACCUUACACAGCUAAACAAGAAGGCCACAGAAAAUCUCAAAAGCAUGGCAGGAGUGAGGCCAAGAGGGACAGCUGUCACUGUAGUAGGAGAGGUCGGAGCUAGCCUAAGCACAGCACGUUGGAGCUGAAGAGACCUCGGAAGCCCAUCUUCUGGUCUCCCUGAAGAGUGACUAAUGUGGGAAAGCACCAUGGCCAGAGGAAGACAGCCAGGUGAGAUGGGGAGGCCUGGCCAGAAGCAGAUGACCUAGGUGAUGUCCAGCCCCGAUUUCUCACUUCUGCAUUCCAGGGGAGGAGGGAGACACUGGGACAGAGAUGCUGGAAUAUAAAACUUGUUCCAUCUUGAAUCUGACCUUUUGUACCCCCAAGAGUGUGAGAUGGGACUCUGAUGGCGAGUCUGCUCCAUCUCCUAGUCCUUUCCUACAGCUACCGGACAUUGCCAUCCAUCCCAUUCCCUCUCGUUGCCCUCUCUGGCUCCAGUCCCACCCUUCCCCUUUCCAGCGCCCGUCCCUGCUGCUCUCUCUCUUGAUGCUUCACUCUCUCUACUUUCUACUCAGUCUCCUUUCCUUCAGGCCUUUGGACUUGAGAAGCCUCAACCACUGGUAUCAAAUGACCGUGAGUUGGGGCCUCUGUAUUUUUAACCCAUCAGACACCUGAAGCUCCUGCUAAUGAAACCUGAGGAGCUGGCCCCUCUGUGCUCCGGCUUCCCACCUCACUCACAUAUACCCUGGACCACUGAUCUUUCAGGGUCUGGUUCAGCCAUGUCAGCAACUGGGGAAGGACCCCAGGCUGAUAUAGCACUGUCCCUAGGAGACCUUGUGUUGGAAGAGGGAGGAGAAGAGGGAGAGAGACCUCUGAGGAGGGGCCUGAUGUAGGGAAAAUGGCAGGCAAUACUCAUGAUGGCCUUCUCCUUGCUAGCCCAUGGCCCCUCAUCCUCCAGACCCACCCCGGGUCCUUCCCCAUCACUAGCCUAUUUUUUUUGUUGUUGUUGUUUUGUUUGCUUUGUUUUUGUGUAUUUUUGACCCAGCCCUCACUGAAAGACUAGUCUGAAAGUGAUUAAGGGCACAUGUUCUGAAAACUGACAGACCUUGGUUUCUUCUUGGAUAACAUGGAGUGUGUGGUAGGGAAAUAUUUAUGUGACUUACUUGAUGGUGUAUAUAAAGCCCUCGUCCCAGUGUUAGGCAUAAUGUGCUGA